UGGUGGAGCGAUUUGUCUGGUUAAUUCUGUUAACGAACGAGACCUCAGCCUGCUAACUAGCUUCUUAGAGGGACUAUGGCCGUUUAGGAAACAGAAGUUUGAGGCAAUAACA
This 112-nucleotide ribosomal RNA is filed under the name uncultured eukaryote. Its description in RNAcentral is "partial 18S ribosomal RNA". It matches the Rfam family "Eukaryotic small subunit ribosomal RNA", at positions 1299 to 1458 of the family's 1831-position model. The record is from RNAcentral.